This 253-nucleotide ribosomal RNA is filed under the name uncultured bacterium. RNAcentral's name for it is "partial 16S ribosomal RNA". It matches the Rfam family "Bacterial small subunit ribosomal RNA", at positions 524 to 777 of the family's 1533-position model. The record is from RNAcentral.
UACGAAGGGGGCUAGCGUUGCUCGGAAUCACUGGGCGUAAAGCGCACGUAGGCGGGUCCUUAAGUCGGGGGUGAAAUCCCGGAGCUCAACUCCGGAACUGCCUCGAUACUGGGGACCUCGAGUCCGGGAGAGGUGAGUGGAACUGCGAGUGUAGAGGUGAAAUUCGUAGAUAUUCGCAAGAACACCAGUGGCGAAGGCGGCUCACUGGCCCGGUACUGACGCUGAGGUGCGAAAGCGUGGGGAGCAAACAGGG